AGGGUCAAGCUACAAAGGGCGUAUGGCGGAUGCCUUGGCGCUGGGAGCCGACGAAGGACGCGGCAAGCUGCGAAAAGCCUCGGGG
This 85-nucleotide ribosomal RNA is filed under the name Capillibacterium thermochitinicola. RNAcentral describes it as "Hydrogenispora sp. UUS1-1 partial 23S ribosomal RNA". It matches the Rfam family "Bacterial large subunit ribosomal RNA", at positions 1 to 83 of the family's 2925-position model. Lineage: Bacteria; Bacillati; Bacillota. The record is from RNAcentral.